CCAUAGUAGUGACUAAAUAUACACGGUCCUUGCCCUCAUGAAGCUUUCCGUCUCCUGAGAGAACGGUAAUGAACAAGGUCGGAGGGCAAUGAGAGAGACUGCCCUGGUUGAUUGGGGACGGCCUCUCCGAGGGAGAUAUACUAGGGCCAACCUGAAGGAUGAGGAAGUCAGCCAGGAGGCGAGCAGCGGGACAAGCAUUCCCAGCAGAGGAAAUGGCACGAGUGAGGCACGAAGGGUUCCCAAGCCUCUGGAAGUCCCGGAGGAAGAGAGGUAAGAACUUCUGCACCAACUCAGAGUGAAAAAGAGGUGGCAGAGCCAAGGGAAGGUCUCGGGCAAGGUCCUUGGGAGAAGAACCCUGCCGCCUUGGGAAGGAGGAGUAAAAAAUGAAACCACCAGAAAGCGAUGAAAAUGAGGAAUUCAGUGACUCCCUCAUGUUGCUAACAGAAAUGAGAAGAACAGGCUCAGAAGCAGAGCCCUGCAACAAUCCAGUGUCCUUCUUUUUUGGCUUACACUAAAACAUUAGUCAGCACUCCUGGGAAUGAUCUGUCAACCAGUUAUAAACUCACUUAAAUCUGCUGUCAUCUGGUCAUCAUUUCCCCACUAUGUCCACAAGGGCAUCACCAGGUACCAUGUAAAAUACUCUACUGAAAUCAAGAUAAUGUCACCCUAAUAAGAAACUAACCAUGCAGAGGUAAAAGAGAAUGCUCAUAUUCUGUUUAAUAAUACUU
Long non-coding RNA from Lagenorhynchus albirostris (white-beaked dolphin), 728 nucleotides. RefSeq lists it as uncharacterized. The transcript has 3 exons. Lineage: Eukaryota; Metazoa; Chordata; Mammalia; Artiodactyla; Delphinidae. The record is from RefSeq and is a predicted model, not a curated record.